GAAUUUGGAACCCAACAUAAAGUUCCUCAGUCUUUGGCAAGAAAACAAAUAACUGGAACCAGUGACAGGCUGUAGUAAAAGUCCACAUAAAGGGUAACAGCUUUCUGUUGCUACAGGUUCUUGCCUUGGCUUAGACAAAGAGAGGAAAGUGAUGUGAGGAUCAGCACCAGAAGUGGCUGUAUUUUAAGUACAGUUAAUAAAGUGCUCUAUGCAUUCUGCUAACAGAAUGGUAAUUUACAACAUCUGCUUUUCAAAGGCUUGAAAAUAAUAGAUUGUCUUUCCCCCCUCCCAGUCUCUAUCAAUCUGAUUGUGACAUAGUCCUUUAAUUACACAAACACCCACUACUUUUCCACAGGCCUCCAUGGAAAUGUAAAGAGCCAGACUGUAAAGAGCUCAGUAUGUGCAUUCAGCCAGCCUUCCCAUCUGCACAUCGUUACUUAUUGCCUCCUACUGGAAACUGAUCACUUCACAGCCAAAAGCUUUAAAACAGCAAACAUUACUAGAUCUGUUCUCCAGUUUGAUUUGAAAAAGGAUAUAUAUAAUAACCCUCUAAUUUACAUCACCGAGAAUGGGUUUUCCCAAAGUGACCCUGCUCUACUUGAUGACAGCCAAUGAUGGGAGUAUUUCAGGCUGAAUUUACAGGAAAUUUUAUAAGGUACCAUUUGAGAUGCUGAAAGAUCAAUUGUUCUAACAUUAUAUAAUUUUCCCUUGUGCUUAUUUGCAUUCAGCAAUGACCAGUGAUUCUUGAAG
Coturnix japonica (Japanese quail) is the source of this 750-nucleotide long non-coding RNA. The record is from Ensembl. Lineage: Eukaryota; Metazoa; Chordata; Aves; Galliformes; Phasianidae.